UACGUAGGGGGCUAGCGUUGUCCGGAAUCAUUGGGCGUAAAGCGCGUGUAGGCGGUCCGGUAAGUCCGCUGUGAAAGUCGAGGGCUCAACCCUCGAAUGCCGGUGGAUACUGUCGGGCUUGAGUACGGGAGAGGCGAGUGGAAUUCCUGGUGUAGCGGUGAAAUGCGCAGAUAUCAGGAGGAACACCGAUUGCGAAGGCAGCUCGCUGGAACGUUACUGACGCUGAGGUGCGAAAGCGUGGGGAGCAAACAGG
RNAcentral lists this ribosomal RNA (253 nucleotides) under uncultured bacterium. Its description in RNAcentral is "partial 16S ribosomal RNA". It matches the Rfam family "Bacterial small subunit ribosomal RNA", at positions 524 to 776 of the family's 1533-position model. The record is from RNAcentral.